Molecule: ribosomal RNA, 492 nt
Filed under: uncultured bacterium
Lineage: Bacteria
Description: partial 16S ribosomal RNA
Rfam family: Bacterial small subunit ribosomal RNA
Source: RNAcentral
AGUGAACGCUGGCGGUAGGCCUAACACAUGCAAGUCGAACGGCAGCACAGUAAGAGCUUGCUCUUACGGGUGGCGAGUGGCGGACGGGUGAGGAAUACAUCGGAAUCUACUUUUUCGUGGGGGAUAACGUAGGGAAACUUACGCUAAUACCGCAUACGACCUACGGGUGAAAGCAGGGGAUCUUCGCACCUUGCGCGAUUGAAUGAGCCGAUGUCGGAUUAGCUAGUUGGCGGGGUAAAGGCCCACCAAGGCGACGAUCCGUAGCUGGUCUGAGAGGAUGAUCAGCCACACUGGAACUGGGACACGGACCAGGCUCCUAAGGGAGGCAGCAGUGGGGAAUAUUGGGCAAUGGGCGGAAGCCUGAUCCAGCCAUACCGCGUGGGUGACGAAGGCCUUCGGGUUGUGAAGCCCUUUUGUUGGGAGAGAAACGCAGCAGGUUGAUACGCCGCUGUUCUGACGGUAACCAAAGAAUAAGCACCGGCUAACUACGUG